Molecule: ribosomal RNA, 253 nt
Filed under: uncultured bacterium
Lineage: Bacteria
Description: partial 16S ribosomal RNA
Rfam family: Bacterial small subunit ribosomal RNA
Source: RNAcentral
UUCGUAGGGUGCGAGCGUUGUCCGGAAUUAUUGGGCGUAAAGAGCUCGUAGGCGGUCUGUCGCGUCGAAUGUGAAAACCCGGGGCUCAACUCCGGGCUUGCAUUCGAUACGGGCAGGCUAGAGUUCGGUAGGGGAGUCUGGAAUUCCUGGUGUAGCGGUGAAAUGCGCAGAUAUCAGGAGGAACACCGGUGGCGAAGGCGGUUCUCUGGGAAUGUCCUGACGCUGAGGAGCGAAAGUGUGGGGAGCGAACAGG